ACUAAACUUCUUUUAUUAGGGAAGAAACCUCAAGAUGCGUCUUCAGCCUGACGGUACUUAAUGAAUAAGUGAUCGGCUAACUUCUGCUGCCAGCAGCCGCGUGUAAGACGAAGUGAUCCAAGCGUUGUCCGGAUUUACUUGGGUUUAAAGGGUGCGUAUGCGGAAAAUUAAGUCAGUGGUGAAAGCCCGCAGCUCAACUGUGGAACUGCCAUUGAAACUGGUUUUCUUGAAUAUAGCUGAGGCAGAUGGAAUAUAACAUGUAGCGGUGAAAUGCUUAGAUAUGUUAUAGAACACCGAUUGCGAAGGCCAGCUUGCUACACUAUUAUUGACGCUGACGCCCGAAAGCGUGGGGAGCGAACAGGAUUAGAUACCCUGGUAGUCCACGCCCUAAACGUUGAUUACUCGCUGCCGG
RNAcentral lists this ribosomal RNA (412 nucleotides) under uncultured bacterium. RNAcentral's name for it is "bacterial SSU rRNA". It matches the Rfam family "Bacterial small subunit ribosomal RNA", at positions 424 to 826 of the family's 1533-position model. The record is from RNAcentral.